Molecule: long non-coding RNA, 697 nt
Filed under: Hordeum vulgare
Lineage: Eukaryota; Viridiplantae; Streptophyta; Magnoliopsida; Poales; Poaceae
Description: long non-coding RNA (HVUL_LNC008072)
Source: RNAcentral
CAGGCCGGGACUAAAGGGUCCCGGCCAAAGGCCCGUUUUCCACUAGUGCCAUUACCUAGGAUCGCCCAACGUAUACUGGUAGCUCUUUCACCAUGGUAAUGUCACUCGGUAGCUAAUGCACCCACCAUUCUGUCCUGUACAUUCGUAUUACUACCUUAGUUCAAUAUAUUCACUCCGGAUGCGUAUAGUCUGUUUUCCACACAUCCCACUUGUCUUAGCAAUAAUUAUUUGCACUCUUAUACUAAAAUCGAGAUAAACAUAGGGAGCAAUUCUGGCUACGACUCGGAGACAGGAUAAGUCGUUCGGAAUGGGAUGCAGUAGGAAACACAAUAGAUGCUACUUGUGGAUUGCUUGCAGCUGGAAUGGAAGACUUGGGUGGAGAGGUUCUGAUCCUAGAGUCACAAAUAGAAAUAAGGAUACAAAGUAUAAGAUUUUUUUUACCUCUGGUAUUAUGAGAAUUACGCACUAAGGAGGUGCUUGAGCAGAAAUAUUUUCAUUUUUUAAUAUUUGUAAUGUGGAGAUAUUUUCCGUAUGGUCCUGACAAUUGCACUAGAAGGAGUAUAUACCGAUUUCCUAGCCGUGAAAGCUUUCGUACCAGUGUGCAUCUAGAACACGGAUAAAAGGGGCCACAUGAUAUAUCUUAUUUCUAGUUAAGUCUCCUAUAUUUUGUGUUUGAUUUAUUCAUAAAGAAUAUUAU